RNAcentral lists this ribosomal RNA (800 nucleotides) under Bacillus siamensis. RNAcentral describes it as "bacterial SSU rRNA". It matches the Rfam family "Bacterial small subunit ribosomal RNA", at positions 118 to 902 of the family's 1533-position model. Lineage: Bacteria; Bacillati; Bacillota; Bacilli; Caryophanales; Bacillaceae. The record is from RNAcentral.
UGGGUAACCUGCCUGUAAGACUGGGAUAACUCCGGGAAACCGGGGCUAAUACCGGAUGGUUGUUUGAACCGCAUGGUUCAGACAUAAAAGGUGGCUUCGGCUACCACUUACAGAUGGACCCGCGGCGCAUUAGCUAGUUGGUGAGGUAACGGCUCACCAAGGCGACGAUGCGUAGCCGACCUGAGAGGGUGAUCGGCCACACUGGGACUGAGACACGGCCCAGACUCCUACGGGAGGCAGCAGUAGGGAAUCUUCCGCAAUGGACGAAAGUCUGACGGAGCAACGCCGCGUGAGUGAUGAAGGUUUUCGGAUCGUAAAGCUCUGUUGUUAGGGAAGAACAAGUGCCGUUCAAAUAGGGCGGCACCUUGACGGUACCUAACCAGAAAGCCACGGCUAACUACGUGCCAGCAGCCGCGGUAAUACGUAGGUGGCAAGCGUUGUCCGGAAUUAUUGGGCGUAAAGGGCUCGCAGGCGGUUUCUUAAGUCUGAUGUGAAAGCCCCCGGCUCAACCGGGGAGGGUCAUUGGAAACUGGGGAACUUGAGUGCAGAAGAGGAGAGUGGAAUUCCACGUGUAGCGGUGAAAUGCGUAGAGAUGUGGAGGAACACCAGUGGCGAAGGCGACUCUCUGGUCUGUAACUGACGCUGAGGAGCGAAAGCGUGGGGAGCGAACAGGAUUAGAUACCCUGGUAGUCCACGCCGUAAACGAUGAGUGCUAAGUGUUAGGGGGUUUCCGCCCCUUAGUGCUGCAGCUAACGCAUUAAGCACUCCGCCUGGGGAGUACGGUCGCAAGACUGAAACUC